Molecule: ribosomal RNA, 498 nt
Filed under: uncultured bacterium
Lineage: Bacteria
Description: bacterial SSU rRNA
Rfam family: Bacterial small subunit ribosomal RNA
Source: RNAcentral
GACGAACGCUGGCGGCGUGCUUAACACAUGCAAGUCGAACGGAGAAUUUAUUUCGGUAAAUUCUUAGUGGCGAACGGGUGAGUAACGCGUGGGCAACCUGCCCUUCAGAUGGGGACAACAUCCCGAAAGGGGUGCUAAUACCGAAUACGAUCACGCUGCCGCAUGGCGGAGUGAUGAAAGAUGGCCUCUAUUUAUAAGCUAUCGCUGAAGGAUGGGCCUGCGUCUGAUUAGCUAGUUGGUGGGGUAACGACCUACCAAGGCGAUGAUCAGUAGCCGGUCUGAGAGGAUGAACGGCCACAUUGGGACUGAGACACGGCCCAAACUCCUACGGGAGGCAGCAGUGGGGAAUAUUCCGCAAUGGACGAAAGUCUGACGGAGCAACGCCGCGUGAGUGAUGAAGGUUUUCGGACUGUAAAGCUCUGUUGUUUAGGACGAAAGUGCCUGUUGCAAAUAGUUGCAGGUAUUGACGGUACUGAACGAGGAAGCCACGGCUAACUA